This 702-nucleotide ribosomal RNA is filed under the name uncultured Vibrio sp. Its description in RNAcentral is "bacterial SSU rRNA". It matches the Rfam family "Bacterial small subunit ribosomal RNA", at positions 450 to 1151 of the family's 1533-position model. Lineage: Bacteria; Pseudomonadati; Pseudomonadota; Gammaproteobacteria; Vibrionales; Vibrionaceae. The record is from RNAcentral.
UAGUUAAUAGCUGCAUUAUUUGACGUUAGCGAUAGAAGAAGCACCGGCUAACUCCGUGCCAGCAGCCGCGGUAAUACGGAGGGUGCGAGCGUUAAUCGGAAUUACUGGGCGUAAAGCGCAUGCAGGUGGUUUGUUAAGUCAGAUGUGAAAGCCCGGGGCUCAACCUCGGAAUAGCAUUUGAAACUGGCAGACUAGAGUACUGUAGAGGGGGGUAGAAUUUCAGGUGUAGCGGUGAAAUGCGUAGAGAUCUGAAGGAAUACCGGUGGCGAAGGCGGCCCCCUGGACAGAUACUGACACUCAGAUGCGAAAGCGUGGGGAGCAAACAGGAUUAGAUACCCUGGUAGUCCACGCCGUAAACGAUGUCUACUUGGAGGUUGUGGCCUUGAGCCGUGGCUUUCGGAGCUAACGCGUUAAGUAGACCGCCUGGGGAGUACGGUCGCAAGAUUAAAACUCAAAUGAAUUGACGGGGGCCCGCACAAGCGGUGGAGCAUGUGGUUUAAUUCGAUGCAACGCGAAGAACCUUACCUACUCUUGACAUCCAGAGAACUUUCCAGAGAUGGAUUGGUGCCUUCGGGAACUCUGAGACAGGUGCUGCAUGGCUGUCGUCAGCUCGUGUUGUGAAAUGUUGGGUUAAGUCCCGCAACGAGCGCAACCCUUAUCCUUGUUUGCCAGCGAGUAAUGUCGGGAACUCCAGGGAGACUG